GAUGAAGAACGUAGCGAAAUGCGAUAAGUAAUGUGAAUUGCAGAAUUCAGUGAAUCAUCGAAUCUUUGAACGCACAUUGCGCCCGCCAGUAUUCUGGCGGGCAUGCCUGUUCGAUCGUCAUUUCAACCCUCAAGCCCCCGGGCUUGGUGUUGGGGAUCGGCGUGCCCUCGCGGCGCGCCGUCCCCUAAAUCUAGUGGCGGUCUCGCUGUAGCUUCCUCUGCGUAGUAGCAACACUCGCACUGGAUCGCAGCGCGGCCACGCCGUUAAACCCCCCACUUCUGAAAGUUUGACCUCGGAUCAGGUAGGAAUACCCGCUGAACUUAAGCAUAUCAAUAAGCGGAGGA
This 344-nucleotide unclassified non-coding RNA is filed under the name soil metagenome. Its description in RNAcentral is "partial contains 5.8S ribosomal RNA, internal transcribed spacer 2, and large subunit ribosomal RNA". The stretch from base 1 to 120 matches the Rfam family "5.8S ribosomal RNA", at positions 35 to 154 of the family's 154-position model. The record is from RNAcentral.